UAAUGUUGAAAAAUUCCUUCUCUAUUGCACCCUAACGUUGUACAAGGAACCUCUAUGAAUAAUUUUGUAUUGCAUCAUAACUAGAGCGAAACCCUAAGCAUAUAUAAACUGAAAAUAGUUAUUAUUAAAUUUUAUAUUUUUUUCCUCAUUUCAAAGGCAGUAUUUGUCUCAUGAAUUAUUAUUUCAGAGCAUAUGUAAUUCAGAUUGUAAGAACAAAAACCUUCAUUAUCUCUCAUGCUUUCCUUUCUAAUCUUUCGUCAUCUCUCCCACUCUUCUAACUGAUUAUAUUCAGAGUUGUGAUCAGGCGAUGGAACUCUCACGAAGCAAAACAUUCAAAUUAUUUGAAUUUAUGAAGCGGGGCAGAAACUAGCUACACGAUUGGUUAAAUUACAAAAAGUUUGCCGCGAACCGUCGCAAAUAGCUCAUUUGAUGCUUCUGCGUGGCGGUUUCCGCGUCAUAGGUGCUUCAUGCUGUAGCAAUCGCAAAUUCCUGCAAGCCUGAUCGGCUUGGUUACUGCCAGUAUGUUGCCUGUCUAUCGUAGUGUGUAGUUGCGAGAGAUUUUGUUCGCAUAUUUCCCACUUAAUUUACCGAGUUAUUUUUAUCUAUUAUACAGUACGUACCUAACUGAUCUAUGUUUGCUAUUCUUUGUUUUUAGUAAUUAUGAUUACCCGUAAAUGAUAGAAAAAAGAACCUUCAAGUUAGUUUGGUGUUACUGAAAUCAGUAAUCGUCUACUACCAGGGUGUGCCGUUUUUGUUGGACUUUCCUAAAUGCUGAGUGGCUGACUUUUCAUCCUGGACGUUUUUGCACAACGUUUUUAAAACUCUGGAUGCUAUCUGCUAGGAAGCACUGGUCUUUCACUCCAAAUUAUAUCAGUACCUGUUAGAAGGGCAAAAGGGCCUUUUUCUUUUUCAAAUGGCCGAAAAAGGAAUUUAUCAAAAAGUGAAUUUUCGACCACGAGUGAUUGCUAUGUUCCUUCCCGCCCUGUUGGCUGAUUCAUUUACCUUUGGAGUUUGGAACAUACAUUCCCAGCAGUUACAUAAGAUUUCUGACAAAUGAGAGAGUAUAAAGUUCAGUUUGGUCGUACUCCAACAACCACUGUCUACAUGGGAACUGCAUUUCCUGGACUACAUUUUUGAUUUGCUGUUUUCAUCUUGCAACAUUAUGCAGUUGGUUUUCAACCGCUGAGUAAGAGCAACUGGAGAUUUAUUUGAAUUCCACUGAAUCAACAAUGUGCUAUGUUCCCUCCUGCUCUGUUGGCUGAUUUAUCUACAUUUGGAACGUACAUUCUCCGCAGUUACUUAAGAUUUCCAACAAAUGAGAAAGAAUGAAGUUCAGUUUGGACGUACUCAAACAACCACUGUCUACAUGGAUAUUCUAUUUCCUAGACCACAUUCUUCUUCAUCUUCAUCGUGCAACAUUAUGCAGUUAGUCUUCAACCGAGGAGUGAGAACAACGGGAGAUUUAUUUGAACUUCACUGAAGCAACAAAUUUUCUACUAUGGUAUUCCUCUUGGAUUUUGUUUGCUUUUUACACCUGCAAACUUGACAGCCUACAGUUGACUAAGGUGAGAAUAUUUAAUAUUAUUAUUUAUAAUUAAUGACUCUUUAUUAAUCUGUUACCACCCUAUCUGUUUCAGAUCGACGCUGGAGAAGACAAAGAAGAUCCGUAGUUAGAGUAGUUCUCUAUCUUGCAUGCUUUAUUUCAUUGAAUUAAUUCUUGAAGUUCAUUUUAUUCAAAUUAAAUGUUUUUUGUAGCUUAUUUUAUUUCAAUUAAUUUUUAUUUUGCAUGCUUA
Molecule: long non-coding RNA, 1793 nt
Organism: Agrilus planipennis (emerald ash borer)
Lineage: Eukaryota; Metazoa; Arthropoda; Insecta; Coleoptera; Buprestidae
Exons: 5
Source: RefSeq, a predicted model, not a curated record